ACAACUGGCUAUAACUCUAGUUUCAGGGUAUCUGCCACCCUCGCUUGGCCUAAGGUGCUGUUUCAUGCAUGAACUCAGGAAGGCUCACAUAUAUACAUGUAAAUAAAAAAUAAAUAGUUAAAGGGGGAGGAGAAAUCCACAUUUGCCAAGACUCUUAAUUUACUACAGAAACUUGGGUUUCUGUGGUUUUCAUGUUAAGAUUUCAUGCACCAAUGAUAGUCUAACUCCGAGUCAUAUGUAGUUUUAUACUUGGUGUAAGUAAUGGGGUAUAUCUAGGCAAGAGAUGCUGCAACAAAUACCCCGACCCACCAUUCCCAUAAACGGUAGAAAGAGCCCAGAAGUUCCUCAUGGCUUAUUGGAAGUGUAGAAGGGUUUUUUUUGAGCAAGUGAAGUUGUAGGGACAGUGGCCAAAUGUCUAGCUACAGCCUGUUGUAUCCAGUAAGUAAUUCCCUAAUGAGCCAUCUAAACAAGCUAAGUACAGACAUUUGUUGAAAGAUGAAGAACAUCUUAACUAUCUGGACUCAUUUUCAUAUUUCUACUACAAGUUUUACUCUAUAUAUUUAGCGAAAAUAUUGAUUAUUAACAGAUGAGUUCGAGAGAUAAAGGCUGAGUGUGUCUGUAAAACCAUUGCAAACAAAGGCUAUAAAUGAGCAGUGAUACUACGGAUUGUCAAAUGUAAGGAUUUUCAUUAUUAUGUUUUGACAGAGGAUCUCAGUUGAUGUCCUAAAUGCUGAUUAUUCAUUUGUUCUUCCAUUUACUGAGUAUCAUGGUUAUCACUGAAUAAAGACAUAAAGUGCUGUUUUUAAUAUCUAAGUAGGACUAUUGGAGAAGGAUGUAGGUACCCACCUCAAUGAGUUGGAUAGUGUUAAAUAAGGCAAGGCUGUAGUAAGGACAUGAGAAAGAAACCUCAUUAUAGUCUUAACCUCUAGUGUUAGUAAUCUCUCCUCAUAUUACCUCCUCUACUCUACCCUCCAUUCCCUACCUCAAUUUAACCCUUUUUGUUCCAUCACUCCCCUUUAAAUCUUUACGUUGCUGGGUUCUGUCUUCAUUGCGUAGACACAUACAUUCUCAUCAUCCAUUUAUCAGUUGAGGGACAUCUAGGCUGUUUCCAUUUCCUGGCUCUCAUGAACAGCGUAGAGAUGAGCAAGCAUCUCUACACUAGGGUACAGAGACACUGGGUGGUAUAGCUACAUCAUGUGGUAGAUCCACUUCUAGGAGAAAGCUCCACACUGGCUCCCACAGAGCCUCCGCCACUUUGUACUCCCACCAGCAGUGAGUGAGUGUUUCUCUCCCACCACUUCCAUGCCAGUACUCAUUGUAAUUUUGUUUUCUUUUUGAUCUUAGCCCUUCUGGUUGAGUUAAGCUAAAACUUCAACAGUUCUGUUUUUUCCUAGUGGCUAAAAAAUGUUAGUUAGCCACAAAAUAGUCCUACCCUUAAUGCAAUUCGCUAUUGGACAUUUUAAUUAAUUCUCUCGACUGUUCUAUUCCUCCACUUAGAGGACUUGCAAACGUUACAGCCAGCAGCUCUUGCUCAAAGCUAUGCCUCCCUCCCACACUGACCAUCUUCAACUUCCUAUACUCAAAGGCCAUUGGAUUAUAUCAACAGAGCCAACUCACCUCAGCUCUUAAUUCAUCAACUCAGAUCCCCAUGCCUUCCUAUUGAGAUUCUUUCUUCUGUCAUAAAUAAUCCCUCUCCUCUCCAUGAAUCUUUGCAGCGUGUCCACAGUGUCACCAAGUCUACAUAUUCUCUGAUAUUCUGGCUAAAUCUCUUGACCUCCAACUGGUCCUUGGCAGUUCUCAGCCAUGCCGUUGUCCCAACUCCUGAAAAAUCUGUGGACAAACCAGGCGGAACAGAUGAAAAUAAUAACGGGCAAUCCUUUGUUUUUCUAACAAAUCCUGAAGGGAAAGUUGAGUUCUAUCCCCAGGCACCACAGUGGACUAAUUUUAUGUAGCCGAGAGUGGUGGUAACGAGGGCUAUUCUUGCUAGAGAAAACUCAAAUACUGCCUAGCUCUUAGACCUCCUCUGUCUGAUAGCAGUUUAAAUACAGUUGCACGUUUUCUAAUCUGCCCUCUAGGUGCUGUAUGUCUCACAUUCUUCUUUAGUGUUGAAGAGCCAAGACUGAGACACGUCCACUUGUGUGGGGGCCUUGGAAAUGUAUUUUACACAGGGACUCAGGCUGUCAGCACACGGCCCUCUAUCCAUGGGAGGCAAUCCGUAGCUGGAGUGCAGAGUGAAUCAUCUCUUGUUCAUUCUGUAACAUCUUUAUGGAAUUUAAAGAUGUUUGAAAUCUCCUGCUUGACUCCAGUAAACAAAAGAAAGGGGCGUUUGCUCUGGGUUAGUGCCCUUCCACUUCUCGUCUGUCCCUAAGUGUCUGAUCCUUUUUUCUUUAGAAAAUUAUUCCUCUUCUCCUUGGUGAGAUUGUCAAUCAAGGUACACUGACUUCCUCUUGGGGAAAACGGUCUUUCCUCUGGGGAUGCUGGAUGUGUGGGCUUUGAGUCUGAAGUUAAUAGAUAGAAGAAUAAGAAAAGCAAACAAGUCAACAAAACCAAAACAAAACAAAAUAAAAAAAAACCGAGCCUCUUUGACAGUGUCACCUGCCAUCAGAAGUGUGCUGACAAAACCGUCACUCAGCUUUCCUGAGCUGAGCUCUGCCCACUCACCGUGUGUCACCCAUGGCAGGGUCAUCACAGGUUUGGGACCUCCCUAUGUCCUGAUGACGUUUGGUUAAAUUGCCCACGACUUUCUUGUAUCGUUUAUAUAGAAAUACUGCAUGUAAAAAUGUCUCCAGUUAGAUUAUGGGCGAUUUAAGCAGUAAUUACUUACUCUGAAUCUACCUCUAAUCUCGAUUUCUUAACACACAGAUAUUCGUUUUAAUAUUCAGAGUAGAAUUCUGAAGGAGCUAUUUAAACAUAAGUCAGUACUCUGAGGGAAGCAGUUUUAUGGGACCGCAGUUGUAUGCAGCAACAGCACUGUCCCUGCUUAGCAGAGCAACAGGACAGUGUAUUCAGCCACCCCUACAGCCAAACAUGUUCUAGAACUGGAACAGGGAACAAGUGACAGGUGAGUCAUAGGCAGUGCUUUCUACUUCCUCGAGGAAAUAUAAUCCAGCCUGGUUUUCCUCUUCGUUUCCUCUGCUUAGAGAAAGAAAUGUUCAGAAAAAGAUUGUUCACUCCAGGGAAGAGCAAGAAUGGCCAUGUAAAGACCAAGGUGGCAGAAACUCAGCCUUGUUCUCAGGGAAGCCAUGGGAGUCACAGGUAUUGAAGAACCGAACAACCCCUCAGUUCUAACCAGCCACUUCCGAAGGAAGAUUUAUUCAGUAUGGCUAUAUCUUCUGAUUUUACCAGAAGUCAUUAGAAAAAAAAUGUUUUUAAUUAAAUGUAUAGUAAUAUCUUUAUUAUAUACUAAAAUGAAUUUAAAAAAUUAAUUCAGUCUUCAUUCCAAGGAAACCAAUGCACCCUUUCCUCUUAGGCUACAAAGAAACAAAGUCCUGAUAUUUGAUGCAAAUUUGAGGUCUUCAAAACUCUUAGGAGAAUACUAUUGCAAUCUGUUUUUAACACAUCAAACUCAUAAACCCUAACAGGAUGCCUCGUUGUGGAAUGAAUACCAUGCAAGAGAUACCAUGCAAGGUCCUCGAGGGCCUAACUUUGCUGGAGGAUGCAUGGGGAUGGUGUGAAGCACUCUUCGGUUGCUGGUAGCCUGGGAGCCCAGGUGUACUUUGAUAGGUUGUCAAGGCAAAACACUCUGCGGGACUGUGCAUUUAGAUGCUCUGUGAUGUGUAAGAACAGACUAAGGGGCACUUAUUGUUGAUACAAGUUUAUGAAGCUUACUCAUGUCAGGUCCUGCAGUCCCCAGAGCUUAGCAGUGCUGUUAUGCCCAUGUCACAUCACUUUGGGGACACUACAAUUCACUGCUGGAUUCCUGAGGAACAUCCACCAUCUUGUCACGGAGGACCUCCAAGCUUAGAAGAGAGUAAGAUUGACACCACUGUCUGGAUGCAUUAGGCAAACUAUAGUGGCUUCGGACAGGCAGUUUACAAAAUAUGUCAGCCUCACUUAUACCACACACAUACACACACACAGAGACAUACACACACACAUACAGAGAGAGAGAGAGACAGAGAGAGACAGAGAGAGAGGAAAUAUAUAUGGUAAAUCUUAUAUGGUAAGUCUAUAUCUGUAUCUUUAUCUAUAUCGGAAAGUGGUAUUGUUUUUCCCUGUGACUCCCAAGUUCAGGUCAAAAGUAGUUUCUGACACACGUUGCUUUUAGGAAAAGCUGGAAGUAGAAGGGGAAACCAGAGUGAGGAACUCAAUUGCCUUAGGAACAAGAUUAAAAUAAUCGUGGAAAUGAGUUAAUACAGCACAAAAAUCACCAAAUGUUACAACACUGUUAGUCUCAAAACACAGGAUAUAGAGGUCCAAGUGUGUCUGUGAACGCAGAACAGUCUGCUUGUUCAUGGAGAUCACUGUUUCCGUAAACACUAUCAUGCUAUUGGAGAAUUUUCUAAUAAACCUAAGUAGGAGGAAGGAAAGGUGGGGAGGGGCGGACCAUGGUUAGUUUAGAUGGGAGUCAGUUAUGCUGCGGCAGGAGAGUGACUGCAGACAGUGAUGACCUGCUCUGUAUCCAAGGCAGGAGAGUGACUGCAGACAGUGAUAACCUGCUCUGUAUCUGAGGCAGGAGAGUGACUGCAGACAGUGAUGACCUGCUCUGUAUCUGAGGCAGGAGACUGACUGCAGACAGUGAUGAUGACCUGCUCUGUAUCUGAGGCAGGAGAGUGACUGCAGACAGUGAUAACCUGCUCUGUAUCUGAGGCAGGAGAGUGACUGCAGACAGUGAUGACCUGCUCUGUAUCUGAGGCAGGAGACUGACUGCAGACAGUGAUGAUGACCUGCUCUGUAUCUGAGGCAGGAGAGUGACUGCAGACAGUGAUAACCUGCUCUGUAUCCUCUGCUAAAAGAAAAGACUUUGGUAAAUGAAAAAUAUUUGAGGGUCUAGAUGUGCUUAACCUGGUUCAAAUGGUAUGCAACGGAUUUGUGUAUUGAAUAUUAUCUAGUACCCCACAAAUAAAGGCAAACUAUGUUGUAUAUUGAAAUAGAGGCAAACUAUGGUUUUGUGUGGUCAGGUAAAAGUAAAUCUUAAAUGCCAGAAAGUUAAGCAUAGUUAAUUUGGAUUCUGGAAAUACACAAGCUGGGCGUGAAAGAAUAUGAUUGCUUGUCUUUGCUGUCCCCUGACAGAUCCAAGCGGUGCAGUGUGUAUGUGGGAUCUGAUGUGUUUUUAAAUCCGGAUUGUUCUUGCUCUCUUCUAUUAUUGGGGAUAAUAUACUGUUUCUAUUAGAAUAAAUCUGACUUCUUAUCAAUGCUGAACUUAUACAAGUCAGUUAUUUGAGUAGAUAAUGACAAUGAAGAAAUUAUUAUGUCCCUUAUGUCACUUUAAUUUUAAUGACAUCAAAACACCAGCUAAAUUGUGGAUACCAGUUAUUUUUGUUAUUGUUCCAGGAAACUAAGGUGAAAAUAUUAUUUUAAGUUGGCUGAAUGUCCUGAGUUCUGUAGGUGGAGCUGUCAGAACUUUAAACUUUAUCACAAGCUCUGCAUUUUUGCCACCUAGAGGGACCAUCUUGUUUUAAUGUGGCCUCAGACAGCAAUAGAGAGGAAUCUGCAGAGAGGACUCUGCAUGCUUCAGAGAGGGAUGGAACCUGGGAGAGGCUUUCAGAGGGAUGAGGAAGGACUGCAGACUGACUGCCAGUGAAUAAAGAAACUUGUGUGAGGGAAAAAGACAGAAAUUAAGAAGGCCCAAACACAGCUUGACUAGUUUCUGGGCUGGAGCAGGAAAGCAACAACAAUAGACCAUGUUGCUCAGCAGCGGUAAGUAAGUCCCUCGGGGAUUGCCCUGAGUGGCCCAUCCCACAAGGGUCAUUACGGUUACCAGAGGCUGGAUACCCUGAGCAGAGAUAACGAGAGAGAGUUUCCCAAUGUGUGGACCAGCAAGAAGUGGAUGAAGCUCAACUAGAGAAAUUAUCCUGCUUUUCUUUGUCACAACAGUUAGAUGGACAGGGUGUUUAUAGAAUGAUUCAGUCCAACUCCCCCUCCCUCCCUCCCUCUUCCCUCCCCCCCUCAUCUUUAUAGAAUCCUCAUUCCCUUCAAACAUGAAAACAGAAAUCAAUAAAUAAAAACAUCCCGGCUUUUCUGCAGACUCAUUGUCUCCCAAAGAGAUUAAGUAUCUCAUUUCUAGGUCUAAAGAAAAAGAGUUUAUUUUACCGGAGAUUUGAUGUGGGUCUGUUGCAGAGUGAGUAAGCAGGGGGAGGGAGGCUCUGAAGGCUUACUGACAUUUAUAUGCUGUUGCAGUUGGUACCCGGCUUAGCUCUUCCCAUCUUCUCCAGGAAGCGUCUUUAUUCCUCCCGACAGCAGGAUUAAUGGCUGUGCUCAGGAGAAAUCCAAGUGUCAAAAGUUUUCUUCUUCUUGCAGCACCCCCACCUUGUGCCAUCCAUGGUCUGGACAGCUUGGAUCUUCUCAGCACCAUCUGCAUGAUGGAGGACUCUCCUGUCUCCUGUGCGACCUUCAUGAGCACACUAAAUCCAAGUAAGCAGUGUGCAGGACCGAGGCUCACGGAGUAUGCAUCCUGCACACUCCUGCCUAGAGAAGUAAGGAGUGCCACGCCUUUCCAUGUAGCCACGCCUCCCUCUCAGCCUCUUUUGCACUUCUGCACAACCCCAAGGCACCCAUUUACAGACUUGGAGUCUGACUCAGGAACCAUUGUCUAGAAGAGGGACCCAGAAGUCAACACACCAUUUCUCUGCACUGCAGCAGUGAGGUGAGGCUUGAGCACAUCUGUGCAUGCCCAUCCAUUUCAAAAGUGAGGGGGAGCUAAGUGGAUAAUGAGGAGUCAUUCAGUAGAAUGGAGUCGUUAUCUUGAGGUCUGAAAGGAAAAAAAUACCUAGCGUAAAUUGGAAAUAAAAAAGAACCUAUGUGAAGUAUAA
Long non-coding RNA from Mesocricetus auratus (golden hamster), 6971 nucleotides. RefSeq lists it as uncharacterized. The record is from RefSeq and is a predicted model, not a curated record. The transcript is spliced from 2 exons. NCBI's taxonomy places the organism in Eukaryota, Metazoa, Chordata, Mammalia, Rodentia, Cricetidae.